This 1090-nucleotide long non-coding RNA is filed under the name Macaca fascicularis (crab-eating macaque). RNAcentral describes it as "lncRNA (ENSMFAG00000062827.1)". Lineage: Eukaryota; Metazoa; Chordata; Mammalia; Primates; Cercopithecidae. The record is from RNAcentral.
UUUUUUUUUUUUUAAAGAUACUUGCUUAUUUUCUCCUUUCAAAGCCAGUAUUAGCAUUCUUUGAAAGUGUCUCAUUUACACAAUAAACAAUAUUAACCAUUGUCUGUCAGAUAAAGAUGACAGAAUAAUUAACCUACAUAUUUUUGAAAGAAGAUCAAAAUCAUAAAAGCAUGUGCUCCCCCUACACAAAAGUAAGUGGCAACUGACAAAGACCUUCAAAUACUUUAAGGACUAUCACUGCCACAUCAAAGUCAGAAUUCUCAUUGUUAAAAUUUGGGUAGCAGCACAAUAGAGAAAACAUACUACAUUGGCUUCUGGAUACAGUUUGUGUCCCCUUAACUUCAUUUUAGAAACUGCUGCGUUUUGGAUGUGGUUUGUCUCCACCAAAACUCAUGUGGAAAUUUAAUCCCCAGUGUGACAGUGUUGGGAGAUGGGGUCUAAUGGGAGGUUUUUGGGUCCUGGAAGCAGAUCCCUCAAGAAUAGAUUAACACUCUCCUUAUUCUCACUCUCCAGGGACUGGAUUAGAUUCCUUAAGAGCAGGUUGAGAUAAAGCAAGGGUGCCCCUUGGGUUUCAUUUCUUCACAAGUGUCUAUUUCCCCUUUGACCUUCUCUGCCAUGUUUUGACCAGCAUGUGGCCCUCAGCAGAAACCAAGCAGAUGCCAGUGCCAUGCCCCAUGAACUUCCUAGCCUGCAGAACCUUGUAUUAAAUAACCUCUUUUCUUUAUAAAUUACCCAGUGUCAGGUAUUCUGUUAUGGCAACAUGACAUGGACUAAGACAGAAGCCUACGAACCAUAUUCAAAUUUGAAGGGACAAUAAAUUACAGCAACCCUUUGGACAUUAGACAUACUAUCAACAAAAAUGCAAUUAUUGUCAUUCUUUAAAGAGGUUUAACAAAGGUGUAUUUAAAAAUGUUAGCAAGCUUCAAAGUCCUUUACUUUGUUCAAACUAUGUCAAUAUAAUGCUUUAUUUCUUCUCUGGACUCUUGAAAUUGAAAACAUUCCUAAUUUGGUCCUUCAGCUGCAAUUUUCCUUACAUGGUUCUUUCACUGUAUAGCAGAGCAUUCCUUGUGUCUGGUUAGCAGUAUGCUAU